RNAcentral lists this ribosomal RNA (232 nucleotides) under uncultured Staphylococcus sp. RNAcentral describes it as "partial 16S ribosomal RNA". It matches the Rfam family "Bacterial small subunit ribosomal RNA", at positions 108 to 334 of the family's 1533-position model. Lineage: Bacteria; Bacillati; Bacillota; Bacilli; Caryophanales; Staphylococcaceae. The record is from RNAcentral.
GAGUAACACGUGGAUAACCUACCUAUAAGACUGGGAUAACUUCGGGAAACCGGAGCUAAUACCGGAUAAUAUUUUGAACCGCAUGGUUCAAAAGUGAAAGACGGUCUUGCUGUCACUUAUAGAUGGAUCCGCGCUGCAUUAGCUAGUUGGUAAGGUAACGGCUUACCAAGGCAACGAUGCAUAGCCGACCUGAGAGGGUGAUCGGCCACACUGGAACUGAGACACGGUCCAG